GGAUAUAGUUCAUGGUAGAGUGCUUGUCUGGCAUGCAUGAGUCCUGGGUUUGAUUCCCAGUCCA
This 64-nucleotide transfer RNA is filed under the name Ictidomys tridecemlineatus (thirteen-lined ground squirrel). Its description in RNAcentral is "Spermophilus tridecemlineatus (thirteen-lined ground squirrel) tRNA". It matches the Rfam family "tRNA". Rfam says of the family: Transfer RNA (tRNA) molecules are approximately 80 nucleotides in length. The record is from Rfam by way of RNAcentral. Lineage: Eukaryota; Metazoa; Chordata; Mammalia; Rodentia; Sciuridae.